GAGGAUGAAGUCCUUUAGGAUAUAAACUCCUUUAAUCCAAGACGAGUAUCCGGUAAUGGUGGAAGAAGCUGGGGCUAACUACGUGCCAGCAGCCGCGGUAAUAGGGAGGGAGCAAGCUUUGUUCGGAAUUACUGGGCGUAAAGAGUGUGUAGGCGGUGCUCUAAGUCUGUAGUGAAAUCUCCCGGCUCAACCGGGAGGGUGCGCCGAAUACUGAGGGACUAGAGUGCGGGAGAGGAAAGUGGAAUUCCUGGUGUAGCGGUGAAAUGCGUAGAUAUCAGGAGGAACACCGGUGGUGUAGACGGCUUUCUGGACCGUAACUGACGCUGAGACACGAAAGCGUGGGUAGCAAACAGGAUUAGAUACCCUGGUAGUCCACGCCCUAAACGAUGCAUAUUUGGUGUGGGUCAUUCAGUUGAUCCGUGCCGGAGCUAACGCGUUAAAUAUGCCGCCUGGGGAGUACAGUCGCAAGGCUGAAACUUAAAGGAAUUGACG
RNAcentral lists this ribosomal RNA (492 nucleotides) under uncultured Acidobacteriota bacterium. RNAcentral's name for it is "bacterial SSU rRNA". It matches the Rfam family "Bacterial small subunit ribosomal RNA", at positions 404 to 915 of the family's 1533-position model. Lineage: Bacteria; Pseudomonadati; Acidobacteriota. The record is from RNAcentral.